RNAcentral lists this ribosomal RNA (373 nucleotides) under uncultured bacterium. RNAcentral's name for it is "bacterial SSU rRNA". It matches the Rfam family "Bacterial small subunit ribosomal RNA", at positions 527 to 898 of the family's 1533-position model. The record is from RNAcentral.
GAAGGGUGCAAGCGUUACUCGGAAUUACUGGGCGUAAAGCGUGCGUAGGUGGUUCGUUAAGUCUGAUGUGAAAGCCCUGGGCUCAACCUGGGAAUGGCAUUGGAUACUGGCGACCUAGAGUGCGGUAGAGGGUAGUGGAAUUCCCGGUGUAGCAGUGAAAUGCGUAGAUAUCGGGAGGAACAUCUGUGGCGAAGGCGACUACCUGGACCAGCACUGACACUGAGGCACGAAAGCGUGGGGAGCAAACAGGAUUAGAUACCCUGGUAGUCCACGCCCUAAACGAUGCGAACUGGAUGUUGGGUGCAACUUGGCACUCAGUAUCGAAGCUAACGCGUUAAGUUCGCCGCCUGGGAAGUACGGUCGCAAGACUGAA